RNAcentral lists this ribosomal RNA (253 nucleotides) under uncultured bacterium. RNAcentral describes it as "partial 16S ribosomal RNA". It matches the Rfam family "Bacterial small subunit ribosomal RNA", at positions 524 to 776 of the family's 1533-position model. The record is from RNAcentral.
UACGUAGGGUGCGAGCGUUGUCCGGAAUUAUUGGGCGUAAAGAGCUCGUAGGCGGUGUGUCGCGUCGGCCGUGAAAACCUGGGGCUCAACUCUGGGCGUGCGGUCGAUACGGGCAGGCUAGAGUUCGGUAGGGGAGACUGGAAUUCCUGGUGUAGCGGUGAAAUGCGCAGAUAUCAGGAGGAACACCGGUGGCGAAGGCGGGUCUCUGGGCCGAUACUGACGCUGAGGAGCGAAAGCGUGGGGAGCGAACAGG